UACGGUAUCGUUCAAGGGUAGGACAACGGACUUUGACUCUGUCGAUGCUGGUUCGAAUCCAGCUACCGUAACCA
Molecule: transfer RNA, 74 nt
Filed under: Clostridiales bacterium
Lineage: Bacteria; Bacillati; Bacillota; Clostridia; Eubacteriales
Description: tRNA-Gln
Rfam family: tRNA
About the family: Transfer RNA (tRNA) molecules are approximately 80 nucleotides in length.
Source: RNAcentral